GAUCCUGGCUCAGGAUGAACGCUAGCUACAGGCUUAACACAUGCAAGUCGAGGGGCAGCAUGGUCUUAGCUUGCUAAGGCCGAUGGCGACCGGCGCACGGGUGAGUAACGCGUAUCCAACCUGCCUUACACUCUUGGACAGCCUUCUGAAAGGGAGAUUAAUACAAGAUGUUAUCAUGAGUAAGCAUUUUCGUCAUGAUUAAAGGUUUUAACCGGGUUGUAGAUGGGAGUGCGUUCCU
RNAcentral lists this ribosomal RNA (238 nucleotides) under uncultured bacterium. Its description in RNAcentral is "partial 16S ribosomal RNA". It matches the Rfam family "Bacterial small subunit ribosomal RNA", at positions 15 to 240 of the family's 1533-position model. The record is from RNAcentral.